ACACAUCACACACACAUCAGACGCACAGACAAACACACACACACCACACAUAUCACACACACACAUAUAUCACACACACAAACACAUCACACAUAUCACACACACACAUCACACACACACAUAAGACACACCCAUACACACAUCACACACAUCAAACACACAUCACACACAUCAAACACACAUCACACAUACACACACACACACCUGACACACGCAUCACACACACACACAUCACACACAGAGACACACACACACACAGAGAGACACACACACACAUCACAUACACACACAAACACACACACACAUACACAUCACACACGCAGACACACACAUACACAUCACAC
RNAcentral lists this long non-coding RNA (344 nucleotides) under Lathyrus oleraceus (garden pea). RNAcentral describes it as "Pisum sativum (pea) long non-coding RNA (PSAT_LNC002040)". The record is from RNAcentral. Lineage: Eukaryota; Viridiplantae; Streptophyta; Magnoliopsida; Fabales; Fabaceae.